CUUUCUCCGCCGGCGACCGGCGCACGGGUGAGUAACACGUAUGCAACCUGCCCCUGUCAGGGGGACAACCCGCCGAAAGGCGGGCUAAACCCGCAUACAUGCCACCGGGGCAUCCCGGAGGCAGGAAAGGCUUCGGCCGGACAGGGAUGGGCAUGCGGCGCAUUAGGUAGUAGGCGGGGUAACGGCCCACCUAACCGACGAUGCGUAGGGGUUCUGAGAGGAAGGUCCCCCACACUGGUACUGAGACACGGACCAGACUCCUACGGGAGGCAGCAG
This 276-nucleotide ribosomal RNA is filed under the name uncultured bacterium. Its description in RNAcentral is "partial 16S ribosomal RNA". It matches the Rfam family "Bacterial small subunit ribosomal RNA", at positions 79 to 354 of the family's 1533-position model. The record is from RNAcentral.